This 208-nucleotide ribosomal RNA is filed under the name Clostridioides difficile. Its description in RNAcentral is "partial 16S ribosomal RNA". It matches the Rfam family "Bacterial small subunit ribosomal RNA", at positions 759 to 967 of the family's 1533-position model. Lineage: Bacteria; Bacillati; Bacillota; Clostridia; Peptostreptococcales; Peptostreptococcaceae. The record is from RNAcentral.
GCGUGAGGGCCAACCAGUAUGGGACACCCUGGGAGUCCACGGGUGAAACGAUGAGUACUAGGUGUCGGGGGUUACCCCCUUCGGGGCCGCAGCUAACGCAUUAAGUACUCCGCCUGGGAAGUACGCUCGCAAGAGGGAAACUCAAAGGAAUUGACGGGGACCCGAACAAGUAGCGGAGCAUGUGGUUUAAUUCGAAGCAACGCGAAGA